GACGAACGCUGGCGGCGUGCUUAACACAUGCAAGUCGAGCGAUGAAGUUCCUUCGGGAAUGGAUUAGCGGCGGACGGGUGAGUAACACGUGGGUAACCUGCCUCAUAGAGGGGAAUAGCCUUUUGAAAGGAAGAUUAAUACCGAAUAAGAUAGUAGUAUCGCAUGAUACAGCAAUUAAAGGAGUAAUCCGCUAUGAGAUAGACCCGCGUCGCAAUAGCUAGUUGGAGAGGUAACGGCGCUACAAGGCGACAAUGCGUAGCCGACCUGAGAGGGGGAUGAGACACAAUGGGUCAGAUACACAGCCCAAACUCCAACGGCAUGCAGAAGGUAAGAAUAUUGCACAAUGGCGUCAACCCUGAUGCAGCAACUCCGGGAAAGUGAUGACGGUCUUCGAAAUGUAAAACUCUGUCUUCAGAGACGAUAAUGCCGGUACCUGAGCAGAAAGCAACGGCUAACUACGUGCCAGCAGCCGCCGUAA
Molecule: ribosomal RNA, 478 nt
Filed under: uncultured bacterium
Lineage: Bacteria
Description: partial 16S ribosomal RNA
Rfam family: Bacterial small subunit ribosomal RNA
Source: RNAcentral